Molecule: unclassified non-coding RNA, 347 nt
Filed under: soil metagenome
Description: partial contains 5.8S ribosomal RNA, internal transcribed spacer 2, and large subunit ribosomal RNA
Rfam family: 5.8S ribosomal RNA (bases 1-120)
Source: RNAcentral
GAUGAAGAACGUAGCAAAAUGCGAUAAGUAAUGUGAAUUGCAGAAUUCAGUGAAUCAUCGAAUCUUUGAACGCACAUUGCGCCCGCUGGUAUUCCGGCGGGCAUACCUGUUCGAGCGUCAUUUCAACCCUCAAGCCCCCCGGGUUUGGUGUUGGGGAUCGGCUCUGCCUCACGGCGGUGCCGCCCCCGAAAUACAUUGGCGGUCUCGCUGCAGCCUCCAUUGCGUAGUAGCUAACACCUCGCAACUGGAACGCGGCGCGGCCAUGCCGUAAAACCCCAACUUCUGAAUGUUGACCUCGGAUCAGGUAGGAAUACCCGCUGAACUUAAGCAUAUCAAUAAGCGGAGGA